RNAcentral lists this small nuclear RNA (104 nucleotides) under Neotoma lepida (desert woodrat). Lineage: Eukaryota; Metazoa; Chordata; Mammalia; Rodentia; Cricetidae. The record is from RNAcentral.
GUGCUCUCUUCAGCAGCAUAUAUACUAAAAUUCAAAGGAUACAUAAAUUAGCAUGACUCCUGUGCAAGGGCAAUAGACAAAACCAUGAAACUUUCAUAUUUUUA